RNAcentral lists this ribosomal RNA (460 nucleotides) under uncultured bacterium. RNAcentral describes it as "partial 16S ribosomal RNA". It matches the Rfam family "Bacterial small subunit ribosomal RNA", at positions 338 to 795 of the family's 1533-position model. The record is from RNAcentral.
CCUACGGGAGGCUGCAGUGAGGAAUAUUGGUCAAUGGGCUUACGCCUGAACCAGCCAAGUCGCGUGAGGGAAGACUGCCCUAUGGGUUGUAAACCUCUUUUGUCAGGGAGCAACGCCGGCUACGUGUAGCCGGACUGAGAGUCCCUGAAGAAAAAGCAUCGGCUAACUCCGUGCCAGCAGCCGCGGUAAUCCGGAGGAUGCGAGCGUUAUCCGGAUUUAUUGGGUUUAAAGGGUGCGUAGGCGGAAUGCCAAGUCAGCGGUAAAAUCGCGGGGCUCAACCUCGCUCCGCCGUUGAAACUGGCGGUCUUGAGUGGGCGAGAAGUAUGCGGAAUGCGUGGUGUAGCGGUGAAAUGCAUAGAUAUCACGCAGAACUCCAAUUGCGAAGGCAGCAUACCGGCGCCCAACUGACGCUGAAGCACGAAAGCGUGGGUAUCGAACAGGAUUAGAUACCCGGGUAGUC